This 253-nucleotide ribosomal RNA is filed under the name uncultured bacterium. Its description in RNAcentral is "partial 16S ribosomal RNA". It matches the Rfam family "Archaeal small subunit ribosomal RNA", at positions 474 to 727 of the family's 1478-position model. The record is from RNAcentral.
UACCAGCACCCCGAGUGGUCGGGACGUUUAUUGGGCCUAAAGCAUCCGUAGCCGGUUCUGCAAGUCUUCCGUUAAAUCCACCUGCUUAACAGAUGGGCCGCGGAAGAUACUAUAGAGCUAGGAGGCGGGAGAGGCAAGCGGUACUCGAUGGGUAGGGGUAAAAUCCGUUGAUCCAUUGAAGACCACCAGUGGCGAAGGCGGCUUGCCAGAACGCGCUCGACGGUGAGGGAUGAAAGCUGGGGGAGCAAACCGG